CUUCCCACCCCAGGGAUUGAACCCACAUCUCUUAUGUCUCCUGUAUUAGCAGGCAGAUUCUUUACCACUAGCACCACUAGGGAAGCCCCAAAACUCCAGCAGGGACAGAAAAGUUACCACCAAAAAGCUGCUGGCACCCAUAGAGGCUGCCUUCAAUAUGGUAUGUGAGAGCAUCAGAAAGAUGGCUCGGGUCCAAAGGGACUUUGGGUGAGGUUAUUUGUCAGGACUUGGUAGGCUACAUCUGGAGGGCUGUAACACUUAGGCAGACUCAGAGCUUGGCUUGCUUUUGCUUCCACCAGAGGCAUUCCUCUGCUUGCCACAGUGGUCAGGAGCUGUGUGUCAGCCUGGAGCUGGGCAGGAGGAGUGGGAGGAAGGCUUUCCUGAUUCUCUUCCUGGGGUGACUGUCAAAGGCAUUGCGGUUAUGGGUGUGGAAAUAAGUUCUCUAUGGAGAGCUUAGAUAGAUGAAGAAAUAGUUUUUGAAAUUAGCUCUAGCGAUUGUUUUCAGUCUCUGUUAAGAACUGACCAAGAGGAGAUGGGGUAAGUCUGCAGCCAAUUAACAUGUGCUACAAAUGUAAGACAGAAAAACCAAAGAAUCAUGAAAAGAAUGGGAAAUAUCCUUCUUUAGAGAGCACUCAGGGAGGGUCGGGUGGAGAUCCGGAAUGCUUUUGGACGUCCCCUUUCUGAUCCCAGACAAUAGAUCAAGUGACGUCCGAGUGGACAGAUUGGGGCAGAGUCGAGGCUGAGUCAAGUCUGGGUCUAUGGUGUCUGCAUGGAACGGGCAGAGUGGGUUGGGCUGGAGAGAAAAACGAAGUGGCCUGGCUUGAAUAUCCCUUCCAGCUGUAUUGGGUGACUGCACUUAGAGGUUCCACAAUGGAUUCUCUACACCAGCCUGGGGCAUUCAGACUGUCUGCUGAAGUCCUGGCUCCCAACUGUGCAAAUAUAAAUAUGGGGCACAUUUAGGAGUUGCUCAACACUCAGCAUAUAUAGAUUCUAUCCACAUGUUGAGCACUGUGAGCCCCCGUGUUAGUCCUAAGUUCAUGAAUAUGACAGGGGCUUUUGCUUGGAGAUGCUGGAGGACACUUUCCAUUCCAGAUUACAUUUUGACAUAAGUUUUUCCAAAUUCCUCCUGGUGUACUGGCCCUGCUCCACUGGAUCCCAGAGCUACUGAAUAACAUUCUGAGCUGUGUUUCUUGCUGUUGCCAGGCUGGAAAAACUGAGGGAGGCACUAGUGGAAGAAAGAAAAAGGGAGGGAGCGAGCCAGGCUUAAUUCCCCUGCACUCAGCUCCUGUCUUUUUAGCUCUCUUCUCAAAGGGUUGCUUCAAUCCUACCUUCAUUACCCACCCCUGCUCUGGGUCCCCUGCAGGGAGACCUCCUUCACAUUUGCCCAGAUGAGUGGCUGAGCUUGGGGAACUCACUUUCCUGCUGGUGGUCUGAAUCAGAGAUGUACUCCUUCCUUUCUCAGCCAGAGAAGCCUGGCUCUCAGCCCUCUGAUGUUAAAGGCAGAGGCUAUACUACAUGAUCUGGGUGACCUGAAGAGAUUGCUUUUCCUUCUCUGUGUCUCAGUUUCCCCAUCUUUGCAAUGCAAAAGAUAAAAUAAAACUGUAUCUGGCAACGUCAAAGUGGCAAUGAGGGGAAAAGUUUAUAAAUAUAGUUACUGUGUGUUGAAAAGCAAGUGCUUUUUCAGUUGUGUGCCAGGUCCCAAACCAAAGCCUUUAAUGUACCAAUCCACUAAUUAAGAAAAAUAAGGUGUUGGUGUUAUUUACCCCCCAAAAAAGGACUAAGAGGGAGACAACCAGAUACAGGAGCUUUGGCUUAAACUGCACAAGAAGGGAUUUGGGGUAGACACUGAACAUUUUUAGGUUUGACUUAGGAAAAACUUUCUGCAAGACCUUAGGACGCUUGACUAAUGUGAUUUUAUCUUUGGCAGAGCUUUUGGAAGAAGUGAACCACCUUAUAUUUAAAGGACAUAUGUGGUUCUGCAAGAAGGCAGAGUGACAAGAUGCUGUGAUGGAGUCUUUUCCACCCCAAGUUUCACUGGUUAUACAGUUCGGCAGUAACUAUCGGCUUCUCUCCCAUGACAGCUGUUCUUCUGUCACAUUUUCAAGGUCAAACUCUGAUAAAGCACAGCAUAUACUAUAUGACAUUUCUGUUAUGACGCUCCUCCUGGAUUCAGAGUGGGUAGCAGGCCCUCAGAACUCGGUUUCAAUAUGGGACACCAAAUAAGGGAUCCGGAUGCCUGCAGAUUGCCAAAGGAAUCAGCACCUGAAGGAAGUUCAUCUGGGCCACUGGUGCUUUCUGAGAGCUGUCAAGCCAGCAGCACUACCCAGUUACUGGACGACAAACAAGCUAAAGAGACUAUUACUCAUUUCUGUAAACCCUAUCCCCAGCUGGGCAUAUAGUGCUUGGCACUUAGUAGGUAAUCAGUAAAGGGUUAUAAACUGAA
Bubalus bubalis (water buffalo) is the source of this 2443-nucleotide long non-coding RNA. RefSeq lists it as uncharacterized. The record is from RefSeq and is a predicted model, not a curated record. The transcript is spliced from 2 exons. Lineage: Eukaryota; Metazoa; Chordata; Mammalia; Artiodactyla; Bovidae.